AUAGCGUAUAUUAAAGUUGUUGCAGUUAAAAAGCUCGUAGUUGAAUUUCUGGCCAGCGUUGCGUCUGGCUCUCUGAGUCGGCGUACUCGCUUGGUCAUCCGUAUGGGAAGCCUGCUCGGCCUUCACUGGUCGACUGGUGGAUCAUACACUUUACUUUGAAAAAAUUAGAGUGUUUCAGGCAGGCAAUUGCUUGGAUACUUCAGCAUGGAAUAAUGGAAUAGGACUUUGACCUAUUUGUUGGUUUUUCUCUCAAGGUCAAGGUAAUGAUUAAUAGGGACAGUUGGGGGCAUUCAUAUUUAAUUGUCAGAGGUGAAAUUCUUGGAUUUAUUAAAGACGAACUUAUG
This 344-nucleotide ribosomal RNA is filed under the name uncultured eukaryote. Its description in RNAcentral is "SSU rRNA". It matches the Rfam family "Eukaryotic small subunit ribosomal RNA", at positions 594 to 945 of the family's 1831-position model. The record is from RNAcentral.